Molecule: ribosomal RNA, 484 nt
Filed under: uncultured bacterium
Lineage: Bacteria
Description: partial 16S ribosomal RNA
Rfam family: Bacterial small subunit ribosomal RNA
Source: RNAcentral
AUUGAACGCUGGCGGCAGGCCUAACACAUGCAAGUCGAGCGGAUGAAGGGAGCUUGCUCCUGGAUUCAGCGGCGGACGGGUGAGUAAUGCCUAGGAAUCUGCCUGGUAGUGGGGGAUAACGUCCGGAAACGGGCGCUAAUACCGCAUACGUCCUGAGGGAGAAAGUGGGGGAUCUUCGGACCUCACGCUAUCAGAUGAGCCUAGGUCGGAUUAGCUAGUUGGUGGGGUAAAGGCCUACCAAGGCGACGAUCCGUAACUGGUCGGAGAGGAUGAUCAGUCACACUGGAACUUGGACACGGUCCAGACUCCUACGGGAGGCAGCAGUGGGGAAUAUUGGACAAUGGGCGAAAGCCUGAUCCAGCCAUGCCGCGUGUGUGAAGAAGGUCUUCGGAUUGUAAAGCACUUUAAGUUGGGAGGAAGGGCAGUAAGUUAAUACCUUGCUGUUUUGACGUUACCAACAGAAUAAGCACCGGCUAACUUCGUG